Molecule: non-coding RNA, 821 nt
Organism: Ictidomys tridecemlineatus (thirteen-lined ground squirrel)
Lineage: Eukaryota; Metazoa; Chordata; Mammalia; Rodentia; Sciuridae
Source: RefSeq, a predicted model, not a curated record
GUGGUGCUGGGGACUGAACCCAGGGCCUUGUGCAUGCGAGGCAAGUGCUCCACCAACUGAGCCAUGUCCCCAGCCCCCUGGCAUUUCAUUCCUAACAAAUGGGAAACCCACACGAAGGAAUGAAGCGGCCAUAAUGAGGGUAAAGAGUGAAUGAGAGGGAUGUAAAGAGAAGGUGGCCGUCUGCAAACCAGCAAGAGGUCCCACACAAGCCCCCAUAACUACUGGUGCCUUGCUCUUGGAUUUCCCAGCCUUCACAGAGAAAGGAAACUCUGUUGCUUAAGCCACCCAGGAUACUGUUACAGCAGCCUAAGACCAAGACAGCACCCUUAACCCUCUUACUUCUCUCAGGAUCCUGUGAUGUAACUUCAUUUCAUACCACUAGAAGCAAAGAAGUCACUCUAGUCCACACUGUCUGAAAAUGAUGAAUCUGAAGCUGAAACUCAAAUUAACCUAAAUUUGAAAACGACCUUUCCUGUUUUCUAGUUGUAAGACACUGGACAAGACCCUGCGGAAUCAGAUCAGAACCCUGGCUCACACCUCCAGCCUUGCUCCCUGCAGUCCAAACCUGGUGAACCCAUUCUGGCCUUUUGUCCUCAAGCAUGCAAGGCAUAGUCCUCCUCAUGGACUUUAUUUUCCCUGUCCUUCACAUAGAAAGCUUUCCUCCCUCUUGUUAGAGCACCUGUUCCCUUUGCUCAUUUGUUCUCUACUCAGCAGAUGCUUCCUCGAAGAAUAUUCUCUGAACUAACUUGUUCACCUUGUUCAUUCAACGUGUAUGCCACUUUGUCUCCUUCAAAUAGACUACAAGUUCUAAGAGAUCCGAA